This 301-nucleotide ribosomal RNA is filed under the name uncultured bacterium. RNAcentral describes it as "partial 16S ribosomal RNA". It matches the Rfam family "Bacterial small subunit ribosomal RNA", at positions 509 to 807 of the family's 1533-position model. The record is from RNAcentral.
CAGCCGCCGCGGUAAUACGUAGGUGGCAAGCGUUGUCCGGAAUUAUUGGGCGUAAAGGGCUCGCAGGCGGUUUCUUAAGUCUGAUGUGAAAGCCCCCGGCUCAACCGGGGAGGGUCAUUGGAAACUGGGAAACUUGAGUGCAGAAGAGGAGAGUGGAAUUCCGCGUGUAGCGGUGAAAUGCGUAGAGAUGUGGAGGAACACCAGUGGCGAAGGCGACUCUCUGGUCUGUAACUGACGCUGAGGAGCGAAAGCGUGGGGAGCGAACAGGAUUAGAUACCCCAGUAGUCCCUGUCUCUUAUAC